This 512-nucleotide ribosomal RNA is filed under the name uncultured bacterium. Its description in RNAcentral is "partial 16S ribosomal RNA". It matches the Rfam family "Bacterial small subunit ribosomal RNA", at positions 28 to 507 of the family's 1533-position model. The record is from RNAcentral.
GACGAACGCUGGCGGCGUGCCUAAUACAUGCAAGUCGAGCGAGCGGAACUAACAGAUUUACCUCGGUAAUGACGUUAGGAAAGCGAGCGGCGGAUGGGUGAGUAACCCGUGGGGAACCUGCCCCCUAGUCUGGGAUACCACUUGGAAACAGUUGCUAAUACCGGCUAAGAAAGCAGAUCGCAUGAUCAGCUUUUAAAAGGCGGCGUAAGCUGUCGCUAUGGGAUGGCCCCGCGGUGCAUUAGCUAGUUGGUAAGGUAAAGGCUUACCAAGGCGAUGAUGCAUAGCCGAGUUGAGAGACUGAUCGGCCACAUUGGAACUGAGACACGGCCCAAACUCCUACGGGAGGCAGCAGUAGGGAAUCUUCCACAAUGGGCGCAAGUCUGAUGGAGCAACGCCGCGUGAGUGAAGAAGGUCUUCGGAUCGUAAAGCUCUGUUGUUGGUGAAGAAGGAAAGAGGUAGUAACUGGGCAUUAUUUGACGGUAAUCAACCAGAAAGUCACGGCUAACUACGUG